Molecule: RNA transcript, 2018 nt
Organism: Camellia sinensis
Lineage: Eukaryota; Viridiplantae; Streptophyta; Magnoliopsida; Ericales; Theaceae
Gene name: synaptotagmin-1
Source: RefSeq, a predicted model, not a curated record
CCAUGUCGCCCCACAGUACAUCCAACCUCCAUCCAAUCCCUCUCCCAAUACAGUAAACCCCAUGUCCCCCCACAGUACAUCCAACCUCCACAGUACGAACCCUGGUGUUCCGAUCCAAUUGCUGAACGAGAUGAGGAGAGUUGGUGUGUUGUUCUUCGAGGAGUGUCCAAUGGUUGAGACGCUCAGGUACUCUUACGAUUCCAAUUCGCUUGCUUCUUAAGGCUAUGGAAGCCUUAUGUUGGUUUGCCGAAGCAACUGAUUCCUAAGAGAAACAGAGCUCCAGCAUUUGUCCUCUCUCUCUCUCUCUCUCCACUUUGUUUGCGACGCCUGUUUUGACCUUGCGUUUCGUAGCUUCACUCAAUUUCUUUGUUUAGAAGGAGGUUAACACUACAGCAAUUUAUUUGGUUGAAGUGGUUUGAUUUCUAUAAAAUUAUGGGUUUGAUCACCAAAAUGGGUUCAAUUUAGGGUUUAUGGGUUUGACAGAGAAAAAAUUUUGAUGUCAAAAAUCAAAAUCAAUGAAAUGUGAUAGUGAGAAACUUUGGAUUUGGAGUGGGAAUCACAAUUGGGAUCGUGGUUGGGUAUUAUCUGUUUAUCUAUUUCCAACCAAGUGAUGUCAAGCCACAUGUGGACUUUGGUUUGAAAGUGCUUGGAGCAGAUGCUAUGUCCAUUCCUGGCCUGUAUAGGUUUGUUCAGGCAUGUUAAAUUAAUUAAUAUAGUUCCCUUCACUUCAAUGUCUCUUUAUUUUUAGAUUUUUAUUUGAUUCUUCAUCCAGAGGGUGGGGGUGCUUAGGCACAUCUUCAUUGCAUAAAUUUUGAAAACAUGCAACAACCACAACAAAAAAUUGGUGGAAGAUGGUUUAGCUAAUGUGAAUUAGCUAAACUUGUGAUAUACUAAUGUAAACAUUGUAAUCAUAUAUUGGGAACUAAACUGGGUGUAGUUUUUAAUUUUGGUUUCACAACUAGUUGUAUUUUUUUUCAUUUAGGAGCUUAUCAAAGAUCAAGUUGCUAAUACGUAUCUCUGGCCCAAAACCCUUGAGGUACAAAUUAUGGAUCCUACAAAGUAAGUGUAUGUUUGAUCUAUAUAAUUUUACUUUGGCCCUCUCAAAAAUCACAAAAACCUCAUUAGCCUAUGUAGUUUUGAGUAUUUAUAAAAGAAUUAGUAGUUUGGAAAAACUAUGAAGUUCAUCAGAAUUAGCAGUUAAACUAUCCAAAAUAAAGUUGAUGCUGAUUAGUGAUUUGAAAAUGUUAGAAAUCCUUGUGUUGGUAACAAGUCACGAUCACAUUGAUGCUUUACUGAAUUCUUUUAAAGCACUAGAUUUUAACAGGGUUUUAACUAAUGUCUAUUGGCUGAUUGUGUGUCUUUACAGCCUAUAAAGAAAAACAGAGAUCCAGUUGAACAGAAUACCUAAAUGCACUUUUACACCGGUACACUUUGCGUUAUUUAGGUUGCUAAUAUUUCAAUAAUGUUAAUUUCAUUUUCAAAAUAUUAUGAUUGUAGGGAUGAAACUACAACUUAGCCGAAAAAGAAGAAAAAAAAAUCCUCUUAUAGAUCUAAUAACUUUUUUUUGGCAAAGAAAUUAUGUUCAAAUGUUAUAUAGAACUAAUGGGUGUAAUUUUUGUUUGUAGAUGGAUUUUGGCAUAGACAUGUAGAUCUUCCAUUUUUGUGUACAGAGGAUAAUUUAGACUUUUGAAUAAUUCCCUGUUACUUUUGAAUAAUUCCCUGUUUUUGUCGUCCUCUGCUUUUUGUGUGGAAUUUGGAUGAAUCGUACAUAUAACUUUUGGUGGGGUACUGAAUACUUUUGACAUCUAACAAAUAUUUAUUGUUGUGGUAUAUAGAUUAUAUUUUGUAGUGGUACAAAUUACCAUGCCAAAUGGCCAUUUCGCGUAGUAGUAAAUAUAUUUGUGUAUGGAGGACAAUGUUUUUGUAUGCUUACUUGUUAUGUAUGAAAUUAUUAUUUCCAAUUGGAAUAUUUACUUUAGUUUGUAUAGAAUGACAUUAUAAAUUACUCUUUUUGUUGG